UCUAAUAGUUUAUAAAAUCUUGACUUAAUUUUUUCUUCUUUUUCUUCCUCUUGAAGAUAUUAUGUUUCGUUCUUUUUCUUUUUCUUGUGAUCCUGCUGUUUUAAGAUCAGGCAAAGCUCAUGUCUUAGUCUAUGGAAUGUAAGGAACAAUAGCUGAGGUAAAGCUUUAACUUGUCUAUAUGGUACCUCAAUUCUUACUUACAAUAUCCUUAAUUAAUUUGUUUUCUGCUUCUGCAUUGUUUUACUUUUUUGUUUUGGUUUUUUACAUCUUUUUUUUGUUUAUCCUUUUAUGUUAAGAGAGUCUGAAAGUAAAGCUUUCACUCGAGCCGAAAGCUGAAAAAUGCUUUACAUGGAAUGGUCUAGAGUUAAGAGUAAAAUAAUCUGAUG
This 386-nucleotide long non-coding RNA is filed under the name Trifolium pratense (red clover). RNAcentral's name for it is "long non-coding RNA (TPRA_LNC007537)". The record is from RNAcentral. Lineage: Eukaryota; Viridiplantae; Streptophyta; Magnoliopsida; Fabales; Fabaceae.